GUGCUUGUUUCAGCAGCACAUAGACUAAAACUGGAAUGAUACAAAGAUUAGCAUGGCCCCAAUGCAAGGAUGACAAAUUCAUGAAGCAUUCUAUAAUUUU
Pan paniscus (pygmy chimpanzee) is the source of this 100-nucleotide small nuclear RNA. The record is from Ensembl. NCBI's taxonomy places the organism in Eukaryota, Metazoa, Chordata, Mammalia, Primates, Hominidae.